Molecule: long non-coding RNA, 245 nt
Filed under: Ananas comosus (pineapple)
Lineage: Eukaryota; Viridiplantae; Streptophyta; Magnoliopsida; Poales; Bromeliaceae
Description: long non-coding RNA (ACOM_LNC043666)
Source: RNAcentral
CGCCUCCCCCAUAUUCCCCUGCUCCCCCUGCGCGCGCCCCGGCCACCUGAGCUCGCCGCCAGCCGCCGGAGCUGGCUGCUCCAUCCAUUCUCCAUCUUCUUCCCUCUUUUUCUCUCUCCCUCUCUCCUCUCGGGUUGAGUGUAGGCCCGGGGCGGCGCCUCCUGCAGACCCUCCCCCUGGAUUUCACCGUGCUCCGGCAACCUUCCCCGCCGACCGCCGCCGUCGCCGGGCGCCGCCGCUGCUGC